CGAACGCUGGCGGCGUGCCUAAUACAUGCAAGUCGAGCGAAUCUUUUGGGAGCUUGCUCCCGAAAGAUUAGCGGCGGACGGGUGAGUAACACGUGGGCAACCUGCCUAUAAGACUGGGAUAACUUCGGGAAACCGGAGCUAAUACCGGAUACGUUCUUUUCUCGCAUGAGAGAAGAUGGAAAGACGGUCUCGGCUGUCACUUAUAGAUGGGCCCGCGGCGCAUUAGCUAGUUGGUGGGGUAAUGGCUCACCAAGGCGACGAUGCGUAGCCGACCUGAGAGGGUGAUCGGCCACACUGGGACUGAGACACGGCCCAGACUCCUACGGGAGGCAGCAGUAGGGAAUCUUCCGCAAUGGACGAAAGUCUGACGGAGCAACGCCGCGUGAACGAAGAAGGCCUUCGGGUCGUAAAGUUCUGUUGUUAGGGAAGAACAAGUACCAGAGUAACUGCUGGUACCUUGACGGUACCUAACCAGAAAGCCACGGCUAACUACGUGCCAGCAGCCGCGGUAAUACGUAGGUGGCAAGCGUUGUCCGGAAUUAUUGGGCGUAAAGCGCGCGCAGGUGGUUUCUUAAGUCUGAUGUGAAAGCCCACGGCUCAACCGUGGAGGGUCAUUGGAAACUGGGGAACUUGAGUGCAGAAGAGGAAAGUGGAAUUCCAAGUGUAGCGGUGAAAUGCGUAGAGAUUUGGAGGAACACCAGUGGCGAAGGCGACUUUCUGGUCUGUAACUGACACUGAGGCGCGAAAGCGUGGGGAGCAAACAGGAUUAGAUACCCUGGUAGUCCACGCCGUAAACGAUGAGUGCUAAGUGUUAGAGGGUUUCCGCCCUUUAGUGCUGCAGCUAACGCAUUAAGCACUCCGCCUGGGGAGUACGACCGCAAGGUUGAAACUCAAAGGAAUUGACGGGGGCCCGCACAAGCGGUGGAGCAUGUGGUUUAAUUNGAAGCAACGCGAAGAACCUUACCAGGUCUUGACAUCCUCUGACAAUCCUAGAGAUAGGACGUUCCCCUUCGGGGGACAGAGUGACAGGUGGUGCAUGGUUGUCGUCAGCUCGUGUCGUGAGAUGUUGGGUUAAGUCCCGCAACGAGCGCAACCCUUGAUCUUAGUUGCCAGCAUUCAGUUGGGCACUCUAAGGUGACUGCCGGUGACAAACCGGAGGAAGGUGGGGAUGACGUCAAAUCAUCAUGCCCCUUAUGACCUGGGCUACACACGUGCUACAAUGGAUGGUACAAAGGGCUGCAAACCUGCGAAGGUAAGCGAAUCCCAUAAAGCCAUUCUCAGUUCGGAUUGUAGGCUGCAACUCGCCUACAUGAAGCCGGAAUCGCUAGUAAUCGCGGAUCAGCAUGCCGCGGUGAAUACGUUCCCGGGCCUUGUACACACCGCCCGUCACACCACGAGAGUUUGUAACACCCGAAGUCGGUGAGGUAACCUUUAUGGAGCCAGCCGCCUAAGGUGGGAC
RNAcentral lists this ribosomal RNA (1459 nucleotides) under glacial ice bacterium SB100-8-1-1. RNAcentral describes it as "16S ribosomal RNA". It matches the Rfam family "Bacterial small subunit ribosomal RNA". The record is from RNAcentral.